RNAcentral lists this transfer RNA (75 nucleotides) under Streptococcus agalactiae. RNAcentral describes it as "tRNA-Arg". It matches the Rfam family "tRNA". From Rfam's summary of the family: Transfer RNA (tRNA) molecules are approximately 80 nucleotides in length. Their secondary structure includes four short double-helical elements and three loops (D, anti-codon, and T loops). The record is from RNAcentral. RNAcentral also lists the same sequence under 39 other names. Lineage: Bacteria; Bacillati; Bacillota; Bacilli; Lactobacillales; Streptococcaceae.
GCGCCUAUAGCUCAGGGGAUAGAGCGCCGGUCUCCGGAACCGGGUGCGCAGGUUCGAAUCCUGCUAGGCGCACCA